GGGAGCGUUCUGUAAGCCGAUGAAGGUGUAUUGAGAAGUAUGCUGGAGGUAUCAGAAGUGCGAAUGCUGACGUGAGUAACGACAAAACGGGUGAAAAACCCGUUCGCCGAAAGACCAAGGGUUCCAGUCCAACGUUAAUCGGGGCUGGGUGAGUCGACCCCUAAGGCGAGGCCGAAAGGCGUAGUCGAUGGGAAAAUGGUUAAUAUUCCAUUACUUCUGUGUAAUGCGAUGAGAGGACGGAGAAGGCUAAAUCAGCCUGGCGUUGGUUGUCCAGGUGAAAGGAUGUAGGCAUGUAUCUUAGGCAAAUCCGGGGUACUCUAUGCUGAGAUCUGAUAGCAAGCUGUACUUGUACAGCGAAGUGGUUGAUGCCAUGCUUCCAGGAAAAGUCUCUAAGCUUCAGUUACACAGGAAUCGUACCCGAAACCGACACAGGUGGUCAGGUCGAGUAGACCAAGGCGCUUGAGAGAACUCUGCUGAAGGAACUAGGCAAAAUGGUACCGUAACUUCGGGAGAAGGUACGCUGUUGUUGGUGAUGGAACUCGCUUCCUGAGCUGACGACAGCCGCAGAAACCAGGCCGCUGCAACUGUUUAUUAAAAACAUAGCACUCUGCAAACACGAAAGUGGACGUAUAGGGUGUGAUGCCUGCCCGGUGCUGGAAGGUUAAUUGAUGGGGUUAGCGUAAGCGAAGCUCUUGAUCGAAGCCCCAGUAAACGGCGGCCGUAACUAUAACGGUCCUAAGGUAGCGAAAUUCCUUGUCGGGUAAGUUCCGACCUGCACGAAUGGCAUAAUGAUGGCGGCGCUGUCUCCAGCAGAGGCUCAGUGAAAUCGAAAUCGCUGUGAAGAUGCAGUGUACCCGCGGCUAGACGGAAAGACCCCGUGAACCUUUACUGCAGCUUGACACUGAACUUUGACCUUACUUGUGUAGGAUAGGUGGGAGGCUUUGAAGCUGGAACGCUAGUUCCAGUGGAGCCGUCCUUGAAAUACCACCCUGGUAAUGUUGAGGUUCUAACUCUGUCCCGUGAUCCGGGACGAGGACCGUGUCUGGUGGGUAGUUUGACUGGGGCGGUCUCCUCCUAAAGAGUAACGGAGGAGUACGAAGGUGCGCUCAGCGUGGUCGGAAAUCACGCGUAGAGUAUAAAGGCAAAAGCGCGCUUAACUGCGAGACCCACAAGUCGAGCAGGUACGAAAGUAGGUCUUAGUGAUCCGGUGGUUCUGUAUGGAAGGGCCAUCGCUCAACGGAUAAAAGGUACUCUGGGGAUAACAGGCUGAUACCGCCCAAGAGUUCAUAUCGACGGCGGUGUUUGGCACCUCGAUGUCGGCUCAUCUCAUCCUGGGGCUGAAGCAGGUCCCAAGGGUAUGGCUGUUCGCCAUUUAAAGAGGUACGCGAGCUGGGUUUAGAACGUCGUGAGACAGUUCGGUCCCUAUCUACCGUGGGCGCUGGAAAUUUGAGAGGAUCUGCUCCUAGUACGAGAGGACCAGAGUGGACGAACCUCUGGUGUACCGGUUGUGACGCCAGUCGCAUCGCCGGGUAGCUAUGUUCGGAAGGGAUAACCGCUGAAAGCAUCUAAGCGGGAAGCCUACCUCAAGAUAAGAUUUCCCUAGGACUUUAUGUCCUCUAAAGAGCCGUUCGAGACUAGGACGUUGAUAGGUUGGAUGUGGAAGCAUAGUGAUAUGUGAAGCUGACCAAUACUAAUUGCUCGUGAGGCUUGACUAU
Molecule: ribosomal RNA, 1715 nt
Filed under: Acinetobacter baumannii UH8807
Lineage: Bacteria; Pseudomonadati; Pseudomonadota; Gammaproteobacteria; Moraxellales; Moraxellaceae
Description: bacterial LSU rRNA
Rfam family: Bacterial large subunit ribosomal RNA
Source: RNAcentral